This is a long non-coding RNA of Mastomys coucha (southern multimammate mouse), 618 nucleotides long. RefSeq lists it as uncharacterized. Lineage: Eukaryota; Metazoa; Chordata; Mammalia; Rodentia; Muridae. The record is from RefSeq and is a predicted model, not a curated record. The transcript is spliced from 6 exons.
GCCUCAGUGAGAGAAGAAAUACCUAACCCUCCAAAGACACACCCCUCCUCAGAACCUCUCUCCAAAUUGAAGCUGGUCCUCGGCAUUGAUCAAUCUUUCCUAUGAGAGAAGAGGUCCUGUGUGAUAAAGCCAAAAUAUCUCAAGAAGUUAAUGGCCAGGAGCUCAGUCUCCAGAAGCAUGGUUAGGAAUGGCUAAGUGGAACAAAUGAGCCUUUAUAUGUAUCUUCAUGAGCGCGAGCUGACAAGGUCCAACGUCAUAGAACACAGCGGGGACGCCAACCACAGCCCAAUGAAGAGCAUCCUUGCGGUCAGCAAGCUGUAGCCUGACACAGAAAGGAGUUCGAGGUUAGAAAGGCAUAAGAGGGGUCAAGACCCACAGGUUGAGAACAACUGCUCUCGAAGCUCCAGUGAGUCCAUCAGCUAUUCUUCACAACACAUCCCUCCCCUCGAAUGAAAAAGUGAGUGAUUCUUCCUCGGAGCGUCAUACAUUCCUGGGGUACUGAAGUAGGAGGCUCAGUAAUUCAGUGGUCUUAGGCAUCAAGAGAAGAAAAGCCGUUUAUAUCAUUUAUAAUAAAGCUGCAAGUAAAAAAAAAAAUUGCCAAUAAAGAAACAAAUUGUA